GUACAUAGGUAGUACAGAUACUAAAAGUGGAACGAUAGGAGAAAUAAUUAGCAUGGCCCCUGCGUGAGGAUUCGUGAUGCAUUUGAUGUUUUAACUGAUUUA
Lethenteron reissneri (Far Eastern brook lamprey) is the source of this 102-nucleotide small nuclear RNA. NCBI's taxonomy places the organism in Eukaryota, Metazoa, Chordata, Hyperoartia, Petromyzontiformes, Petromyzontidae. The record is from RefSeq and is a predicted model, not a curated record.